RNAcentral lists this ribosomal RNA (253 nucleotides) under uncultured bacterium. Its description in RNAcentral is "partial 16S ribosomal RNA". It matches the Rfam family "Bacterial small subunit ribosomal RNA", at positions 524 to 776 of the family's 1533-position model. The record is from RNAcentral.
UACGUAGGGGGCAAGCGUUGUCCGGAAUCAUUGGGCGUAAAGAGCGUGUAGGCGGCCAGGUAGGUCGGUUGUGAAAACUGGAGGCUCAACCUUCAGAGGUCGACCGAAACCAUCUGGCUAGAGUCCGGGAGAGGAGAGUGGAAUUCCUGGUGUAGCGGUGAAAUGCGCAGAUAUCAGGAAGAACACCCGUGGCGAAAGCGGCUCUCUGGAACGGUACUGACGCUGAGACGCGAAAGCGUGGGGAGCGAACAGG